CAGCAGCCGCGGUAAUACGUAGGUGGCAAGCGUUGUCCGGACUUAUUGGGCGUAAAGCGCGCGCAGGCGGUUCCUUAAGUCUGAUGUGAAAUCUCGCGGCUCAACCGCGAGCGGCCAUUGGAAACUGGGGAACUUGAGUGCAGGAGAGGGGAGCGGAAUUCCACGUGUAGCGGUGAAAUGCGUAGGGAUGUGGAGGAACACCAGUGGCGAAGGCGGCUCUCUGGCCUGUAACUGACGCUGAGGCGCGAAAGCGUGGGGAGCGAACAGGAUUAGAUACCCUGGUAGUCCACGCCGUAAACGAUGAGUGCUAAGUGUUAGAGGGUAUCCACCCUUUAGUGCUGCAGCAAACGCAUUAAGAACUCCGCCUGGGGAGUACGGCCGCAAGGCUGAAACUUAAAGGAAUUGGCGGG
RNAcentral lists this ribosomal RNA (410 nucleotides) under uncultured microorganism. Its description in RNAcentral is "bacterial SSU rRNA". It matches the Rfam family "Bacterial small subunit ribosomal RNA", at positions 509 to 917 of the family's 1533-position model. The record is from RNAcentral.